Molecule: unclassified non-coding RNA, 1145 nt
Filed under: Hevea brasiliensis (rubber tree)
Lineage: Eukaryota; Viridiplantae; Streptophyta; Magnoliopsida; Malpighiales; Euphorbiaceae
Source: RNAcentral
GCCUCUACAAUCGAAGAGUAUUACAGUUCCAGCAUUUAGCUGUAAGAAAAUUACUAAACUAUAUAUUCCAAAAUUCCUUCAUAGGCAAUAUUUCUUCAUUCAAUAACUUCUUAAGAUAAAAACAAUGUUCAAGAGAGCGCAAGGCCCCAGACGCAAAGCAAAAGAAAAAUUGGUUUAAAAUAAACAUGGUAUUGUCAAGGAAAGCACACACUAAGUAGCUCUGGGAGCAGCCCAUUCAACUCGAAGGAUGAGAUUGUCAUAACCAUAACCAUUGAGCUUGUUUAUGGCCCUCUCAGCAUCUUCUCUGUUGACAAAGUUGACAAAACCAAAUCCUCUGCUCAUUCCCGUCUUUUGAUCAAUAGCAACAUACACUCUGCUGACGUGGCCAAAUGGACGGAACAGCUCCAACAAAUCAGCCUCCCGAGUGUCCUCCGAAAGAUUGGUGACCCUAACAGAGUUUUCUUCAUUCCUUCUUCUCAUCUCAGUCCCCCCACCACUUCCUCUCUCUGCUGCACCACCUCUCAUGCUGGGAGGAACAUAAGCACUCUUUUGAGAACCAGCACCAGCAGCAGGUGCUUCCCCCCUUGAUGGUGGCCUAUCCACAAAGGUCUCACUUGGCUGUGCAAGAUCCUUGAAGGGGCAUUUUGAUGUCCAAUGAUCACCUUUCUUGCCACAGGUCCUACACACCAUAAGAACAGCCCCUGCUUUCGCAAUUUGAUUCAAAGAGUCUCCACCAGAUUUAGAUUCGUCCUGCUUCGAACCAGGAGCUCUAGGGCGCUCAAGAAUAAUCUCCUCCGUAGAAACCAUGGUGAGACGAGCACCAACAUCCUCAUGAACAGCAUCACCAAACUUAGGCCAAGAACGGCGCUCAACAGCGCCUUUACUAAGCCUAGCAUUCGCAAGCUUACAGAUACGUACAGUAGUAGUAAUUCUCACCUUGUUACCUUCCUCAUUAAACUUGUAUUCCACUAUUUUCUUCAAUCCAUUACGGUCUGGCCCAAUUACUUGCUUGGGCGGCAACAGAAAAUCCAAGUCCUCCGCAUCAUCUUCUAGCUCUCCCCAUCGAAUUUUUGGUUGGUUUGCAGCUUCCACCGCCAUUGUUAUUUUCCGAUAAGCCGCUAAAACAGAGAGAAAUUUCGUAUUAG